Molecule: microRNA, 18 nt
Filed under: Macrophomina phaseolina MS6
Lineage: Eukaryota; Fungi; Ascomycota; Dothideomycetes; Botryosphaeriales; Botryosphaeriaceae
Description: miR-1268
Source: RNAcentral
CGGGCGUGGUGGAGAGGG